Molecule: non-coding RNA, 84 nt
Organism: Bombyx mori (domestic silkworm)
Lineage: Eukaryota; Metazoa; Arthropoda; Insecta; Lepidoptera; Bombycidae
Source: Rfam
UUAACUCAAAUUUGUAUGGAGUUGGAACGUUUGCCUACGUUUGCCGCUAGGGGCGCUGUUCCAACUGCAUACAAAUUGAAGUUA